Molecule: ribosomal RNA, 253 nt
Filed under: uncultured bacterium
Lineage: Bacteria
Description: partial 16S ribosomal RNA
Rfam family: Bacterial small subunit ribosomal RNA
Source: RNAcentral
UACAGAGGGGGCAAGCGUUGUUCGGAAUUACUGGGCGUAAAGGGCGCGUAGGCGGCCUGCUAAGUCGAACGUGAAAUCCCCGGGCUCAACCCGGGAACUGCGUCCGAUACUGGUAGGCUUGAAUCCGGGAGAGGGUUGCGGAAUUCCAGGUGUAGCGGUGAAAUGCGUAGAUAUCUGGAGGAACACCGGUGGCGAAGGCGGCAUCCUGGACCGGUAUUGGCGCUGAGGCGCGAAAGCCAGGGGAGCAAACGGG